Molecule: ribosomal RNA, 681 nt
Filed under: uncultured bacterium
Lineage: Bacteria
Description: bacterial SSU rRNA
Rfam family: Bacterial small subunit ribosomal RNA
Source: RNAcentral
AGAGUUUGAUCAUGGCUCAGAUUGAACGCUGGCGGUAGGCUUAACACAUGCAAGUCGUGCGAGAAAGUAUCUUCGGAUAUGAGUAGAGCGGCGGACGGGUGAGUAACGCGUAGGAAUCUACCUAGUAGAAGGGGAUAGCCCGGGGAAACCCGGAUUAAUACCGUAUACCUCCUUCGGGAGAAAGAAGGCCUCUCUUUGAAGCUUUCGCUAUUAGAUGAGCCUGCGUAAGAUUAGCUUGUUGGUGAGGUAAAGGCUCACCAAGGCUACGAUCUUUAGCUGGUCUGAGAGGACGAUCAGCCACAUUGGGACUGAGACACGGCCCAGACUCCUACGGGAGGCAGCAGUGGGGAAUAUUGGACAAUGGGCGCAAGCCUGAUCCAGCCAUACCGCGUGUGUGAAGAAGGCCUUCGGGUUGUAAAGCACUUUAAGCAGGGAGAAAAAGUUAUAAGUAAAUACCUUAUAACCGUGAUGUUACCUGCAGAAUAAGCACCGGCUAAUUCCGUGCCAGCAGCCGCGGUAAUACGGAAGGUGCAAGCGUUAAUCGGAAUUACUGGGCGUAAAGCGCGCGUAGGUGGUUUGUUAAGUUGGAUGUGAAAGCCCUGGGCUCAACCUAGGAACUGCAUCCAAAACUAACUCACUAGAGUACGAUAGAGGGAGGUAGAAUUCAUAGUGUAGCGGUGG